This 235-nucleotide long non-coding RNA is filed under the name Fukomys damarensis (Damara mole-rat). RNAcentral's name for it is "lncRNA (ENSFDAG00000028687.1)". Lineage: Eukaryota; Metazoa; Chordata; Mammalia; Rodentia; Bathyergidae. The record is from RNAcentral.
UUGAAUGUGAUCUUGUAAGGGUAACGUUCCACAAGGAGCAUGUUCCACAUGGAGAGGAGUGCUUGAUGAAACCGUGUGCUUAUGAUAUAUGGAUAGGAUUUUAUUAUUACUUAAGUGACAGGUGCUGGGAAAACAUCUCAUGAAGACACAGCAGCUUUUUAUUCUAAUUUUAUUGUUUGAGAAGACAAUAUCAAGUGAAAGGUCAAUUACAGGGUGGGGCAGAAGCUCCAGCUGA